RNAcentral lists this ribosomal RNA (465 nucleotides) under Vreelandella stevensii. Its description in RNAcentral is "partial 16S ribosomal RNA". It matches the Rfam family "Bacterial small subunit ribosomal RNA", at positions 338 to 795 of the family's 1533-position model. The record is from RNAcentral. Lineage: Bacteria; Pseudomonadati; Pseudomonadota; Gammaproteobacteria; Oceanospirillales; Halomonadaceae.
CCUACGGGAGGCAGCAGUGGGGAAUAUUGGACAAUGGGGGGAACCCUGAUCCAGCCAUGCCGCGUGUGUGAAGAAGGCCCUCGGGUUGUAAAGCACUUUCAGUGAGGAAGAACGCCUGGUGGUUAAUACCCAUCAGGAAAGACAUCACUCACAGAAGAAGCACCGGCUAACUCCGUGCCAGCAGCCGCGGUAAUACGGAGGGUGCGAGCGUUAAUCGGAAUUACUGGGCGUAAAGCGCGCGUAGGUGGCUUGAUAAGCCGGUUGUGAAAGCCCCGGGCUCAACCUGGGAACGGCAUCCGGAACUGUCAAGCUAGAGUGCAGGAGAGGAAGGUAGAAUUCCCGGUGUAGCGGUGAAAUGCGUAGAGAUCGGGAGGAAUACCAGUGGCGAAGGCGGCCUUCUGGACUGACACUGCCACUGAGGUGCGAAAGCGUGGGUAGCAAACAGGAUUAGAUACCCUGGUAGUC